Phyllostomus discolor (pale spear-nosed bat) is the source of this 1257-nucleotide long non-coding RNA. RefSeq lists it as uncharacterized. The record is from RefSeq and is a predicted model, not a curated record. The transcript has 2 exons. Lineage: Eukaryota; Metazoa; Chordata; Mammalia; Chiroptera; Phyllostomidae.
UCCCCUCUCUCUAAAAAUAAAUAAAUCCAAUCUUCAAAAAGAAAAGCUUUGAAUUCAGCUCAGGGUUUGUUUAUACUGUGCUUGCAUGUGUGUGUGUGUUUGGGACUGGGAGGUUUGCUGUGGACAUUUCUCUUAUUUCCUUAAAUCUCAUCAGUGCAACAAAAAUUCUGUUUAAUAUAAGAAAUAGUUUUUUUUGUAACUGAAGGUCCCUUCCUGCUUUCAGUCCAGUAUACAGCUAGAAGUAGGUAUUCUCAGAUCUGCAUUUUUUAACAAUGUGAUUUUAUGAAGGGAGGUGAAAAUUUCAUAUAUUUGAAAGCAGCUUAAUUCUGAAUAUGAUAGGUCUGUGUGUUUCCAGACAAGCUCUUUCUCCUCUAAUCCGCUGCCCAAAUGGGGAGGGAUAGGGAGUGUCGUAUCUCCCAGGACCACACGUCCUCCUACCAAUUGCAACUAAUGGGGGACUUGGAGGGUUUUCUUAAUCAUUCUUUUCCUCUUCCUGUGGCAUUGCCUGAUUCAAAAGGAACCACAUUCUUUUAUCUUGUGCUGCCCACUCCCAGAGAACUUCAGGGUAGGGAGAUAGGGAUAGAAGGAACAGACCACUGGGGAGUGAUCGGAAGUUCUCAGGCUUCCCACCAGCACUUUAUGGAAAGGAAAUAUUUAAUGUCAUUUCCCCGCCCCCACUAAAUCCUUACAUAUCCUUUCCUAAUGCACACCUUUUUCUAAGUAUGUAUUUAGUGUUUGCUUAUUUCUUGUUUUUAUAGGACAAGACAUUCAAAAGUUCUUUGUCUCCUGUACUGAUAGAAAAUUUCAGAGUGAGACCCUUAUGCAUUAAAUCCUAGACCCCCCAAAAAAAUAACCCAACCCAACACAUCCCCCCCCCCCCCAAACAUCAUCAUAACCUCCUAAGGCUGAGGUUUUAUCAGCCUUCCAUAUCUUUGUCUCCUCUGUAGAGCUUAUCUCGGAAUUUUGUGUGUGGUUCAGGCUCAGUGUUUGCAGUAAAAAUGAUACCUGACCCUUUGCAAUUUACAGUGAUACUUUCAGAGAAUGAGGUAAUUGAAUGUGUGUGUAGAUAGAUAGAUCCUAAAACAACAAAAGAACUUUUUCUCUUGCAUUUGAAAUAGUAUAUUAAAAUUGGGGGUGGUUCUUUGGUAAUUAAAGUAACUCUUGAGUUCUUCCUAUAUAUUGUAUACACGAGCCUGUGUGAAUCAUGAUACAAAUGCAUUUACUUGGCCUGGGCAUAUCCUCUUUUAAUUGGCUAUU